AGCCGUAAACUAAUGCUCGCUAGGUGUCAGGCAUGGCGCGACCGUGUCUGGUGCCGCAGGGAAGCCGUGAAGCGAGCCACCUGGGAAGUACGGCCGCAAGGCUGAAACUUAAAGGAAUUGGCGGGGGAGCACAACAACGGGUGGAGCCUGCGGUUUAAUUGGACUCAACGCCGGGAAGCUCACCGGAUAAGACAGCGGAAUGAUUGCCGGGCUGAAGACUCUGCAUGACUAGCUGAGAGGUGGUGCAUGGCGUAGACGUCU
RNAcentral lists this ribosomal RNA (261 nucleotides) under uncultured archaeon. Its description in RNAcentral is "partial 16S ribosomal RNA". It matches the Rfam family "Archaeal small subunit ribosomal RNA", at positions 749 to 1009 of the family's 1478-position model. The record is from RNAcentral.